GCAGCCCGCGCCCGCCCGCCGCAAGUUUGUUCCCCGCCGCUGCGGCCUGCGCGGAGAGAGGAUCGCGCGCGGGGAGGCGCCGAGGGGCAGCAAGAGUGGAGAAAGUGCGGAAAGAAGCAACAGCCGCUCCACCCGCGGGCGGAAAAGUGGCCGGGCGCGGCGGCGGGAUGCGGCGCAGCUAACGGUCCCCGGCGGCCGCCGGAGCCGCUAGGCGCAGAGGCAGCUCACAAGUGUAGGGCUGGAGCUACAGGAACCAUCCAGGUGCACUGGCUUGGCCUCUGCAUCUUUCUGUGCCACUGUCUCAUUCUGUUUCCGGCUGUGCGUGGAUGCGGAUGGCCCAGAGAGAGAAAGAACACGGAGGAGAAGGUUAGAGACCUGCAGUUCCACCAAGCUCUUGCUUGGCUAUUAAUUGCAUCCAGCUAUGUUGGUGCUGUCAUAGUCCCACCUGGGGUCAUUGUUAAUAACACUCGUCAAGAACUGUGUGGGAACUUCUGCCUCCUUAAAGGGCUUUAGAACUCAUAUGAUAUGUACUCACUGAUAAGUGGAUAUUAGCCCAGAAACUUAGAAUAAAUACCCAAGAUACAAUUUCCAAGACAGAUGAAACUGAAGAAGAACGAAGACCAAAGUGUGGACACUUCGCCCCUUCUUAGAAUUGGGAAGAAAACACCCAUGGAAGGAGUUAGGGAGACAAAGUUUGGAGCUGAGGCGAAAUGAUGGACCAUCCAGAGACUGCCACACCCGGGGAUCCAUCCCAUAAUCAGCCACCAAACGCAGACACUAUUGCAUGCGCCAGCAAGAAUUUUUGAAAGGACCCUGAUAUAGCUGUCUCUUGUGAGGCUAUGCCAGUGCCUGGCAAACACAGAAGUGGAUGCUCACAGUCAGCUAUUGGAUGGAACACAGGGUCCCCAAUGGAGGAGCUAGAGAAAGUACCCAAGGAGCUGAAGGGGUCUGCAACCCUAUAGGUGGAACAACAAUAUGAACUAACCAGUACCCCCAGAGCUCGUGUCUCUAGCUGCAUAUGUAGAAGAAGAUGACCUAGUCGGCCAUCAUUGGGAAGAGAGGCCCCUUGGUCUUGCAAACUUUAUGCCCCAGUACAGGGGAAACACCAGAGCCAAGAAGUGGGAGUGAGUGGGUAGGGGAGCCGGGGGUGUAUAGGCAACUUUCAAGGUAGCAUUUGAAAUGUAAAUGAAGAAAAUUCCUAAUAAAAAUUGGAAAAAUAAAAAAUAAUAAUUAGGAAGCUAACCUAUUGUUAUAAAAGUGCAAUAGCAACAGUUUAAAGGGUGUUGUGUUCUUUGCUAAUUAGGAUCUCACUUGAUCUCCGUAACAGUACAAUGACUGGAAGAUCCCUUGGAAACUGCGGGUCUUAGGGGUUACUAAACCAAUCUGUCCAGCCUAGGGUGGUCAGGGAUGGGGACACAGUGUGCUGUUGGGUUGAGGUGACUGCAACCCUGGCCUUAACGGACAUCUAAACUAUUUAACCCAAAGUGAUUUGGGCUAGUUAUGGAAAGUGAAGUGUGUAACAGUGCUGACCAAGUGCAGACACCAUGUGAGAACUUGUCAUUUAGUGGCUUAGUGUCCUUUGCCUUGUUUAUUUCUCCUGAUCUCUGAAGAGCUGCCCAGGUGGAACAAGGCAAAUCAUACCUCAAGGUUAUUGAUAGGGAAGUAGAUAUUGUUAGCUUAGAAGGUAGAUAUCUGCCCAGCUCUGGUACUUUAAAGGCAUAUUAUAAAUAUAAAGGUUUUUUUUUAUCUUUUGUCUGGGAACUGAACAAUCAAAGGUGGGGUUAGAGAUUAUUACCACACUCGAUCCUCCAUUCUCCAUGAAAUACAUCCCUUCUAAACCUGGAGGACCCUAUCCUUGCUUGGCUUCUCUGACACUCUCAAGCAACUCCUUGUCAGGCCCUCUUAGUUGUUGACCUCCCUACACUGCAUGCCAGAGAGCCAGGCUCUGCCCCAGAUUCUUUACAGUUUCUCUCUCCACUUUGUUUUUCUGAUUCUCAUCUUCAUACCAGAGACUUAAUAUCUGCCUGCCAAUGAACUAUAUCUAAGGUCUUAAGAUGGUCGUCAGCACCUACAAUUGCCCCACCUUAGAUGAGAUACUCUUUCUUUCCUGUCCUUCACUCUUUCCUAGCUGCACCAGCCUUGUGUCAUUCCUUGAAAUGCCAGACACAUUCCUACCUUGGCACAGAAGCCUACUUCUAAAUCCAAAUUGGAAUGCUCUCAUGAAAAUGUGGUACAUUGAUCAAUACUAAUUUUUAAAUGCUCUUAUUAAAGGAAUUCAUAAUGUAA
This 2286-nucleotide long non-coding RNA is filed under the name Mus musculus (house mouse). RNAcentral's name for it is "zinc finger E-box binding homeobox 1, opposite strand 1". Lineage: Eukaryota; Metazoa; Chordata; Mammalia; Rodentia; Muridae. The record is from RNAcentral.